GGGGGGGGCAAGCGUUGUUCGGAAUUACUGGGCGUAAAGGGCUCGUAGGCGGCCAACUAAGUCAGACGUGAAAUCCCUCGGCUUAACCGGGGAACUGCGUCUGAUACUGGAUGGCUUGAGUUUGGGAGAGGGAUGCGGAAUUCCAGGUGUAGCGGUGAAAUGCGUAGAUAUCUGGAGGAACACCGGUGGCGAAGGCGGCAUCCUGGACCAACACUGACGCUGAGGAGCGAAAGCCAGGGGAGCAAACGGGAUUAGAUACCCCGGUAGUCCUGGCCCUAAACGAUGAAUGCUUGGUGUGACGGGUAUCGAUCCCUGUCGUGCCGAAGCUAACGCAUUAAGCAUUCCGCCUGGGGAGUACGGUCGCAAGGCUG
This 371-nucleotide ribosomal RNA is filed under the name uncultured bacterium. RNAcentral's name for it is "bacterial SSU rRNA". It matches the Rfam family "Bacterial small subunit ribosomal RNA", at positions 527 to 896 of the family's 1533-position model. The record is from RNAcentral.